Molecule: ribosomal RNA, 333 nt
Filed under: Triticum aestivum (bread wheat)
Lineage: Eukaryota; Viridiplantae; Streptophyta; Magnoliopsida; Poales; Poaceae
Description: partial small subunit ribosomal RNA
Source: RNAcentral
AUGGCUAGUCUCCUUCAUUGGGACUUUGCCCCUGGGCUCAAGGUGGAACAGAAGGUACGUGCCAAGUUUAGAUCUACAGUGCACUUUGAAAGUUCUUCGGGGACCAAGGAAUUUUUCCUGGUUGUCUCUUUCUCGUCGGCCUCCUUCCCUCUUUCUGAAGAGGCGGUAGGAGUGGUUUUGCAAUGUUGCAUUGGUGUCUUAGCCGUGGGUUUCAAUGUAAAGCAAUUGGGAGAUCAGAAUUUUCGGUUUUCGUUGGCCUCUAAUCGUGUUGGUCAUUUCAUAUAUGGCUUGAAGGAUCGUGUUUGGCCAAAUUUUGUCUGUCACUUCCACUAG